GCCUGGGUGGCUCAGUCAGUUAAGCGUCUGACUUCAGCUCAGGUCAUGAACUCACGGUUUGUGAGUUUGAGCCCCACACCGGGCU
This 85-nucleotide transfer RNA is filed under the name Felis catus (domestic cat). It matches the Rfam family "tRNA". From Rfam's summary of the family: Transfer RNA (tRNA) molecules are approximately 80 nucleotides in length. Their secondary structure includes four short double-helical elements and three loops (D, anti-codon, and T loops). Further hydrogen bonds mediate the characteristic L-shaped molecular structure. tRNAs have two regions of fundamental functional importance: the anti-codon, which is responsible for specific mRNA codon recognition, and the 3' end, to which the tRNAs corresponding amino acid is attached (by aminoacyl-tRNA synthetases). tRNAs cope with the degeneracy of the genetic code in two manners: having more than one tRNA (with a specific anti-codon) for a particular amino acid; and 'wobble' base-pairing, i.e. permitting non-standard base-pairing at the 3rd anti-codon position. The record is from Rfam by way of RNAcentral. Lineage: Eukaryota; Metazoa; Chordata; Mammalia; Carnivora; Felidae.